GGUUGACCUCGGAUCAGGUAGGGAUACCCGCUGAACUUAAGCAUAUCAAUAAGCGGAGGAAAAGAAACCAACCGGGAUUGCCUCAGUAACGGCGAGUGAAGCGGCAAGAGCUCAAAUUUGAAAUCUGGCCCCCUCGGGGUCCGAGUUGUAAUUUGCAGAGGAUGCUUCGGAUGCGGCCCCUGUCUAAGUGCCCUGGAACGGGCCGUCGGAGAGGGUGAGAAUCCCGUCUGGGAUGGGGUGUCCGUGUCCGUGUGAAGCUCCUUCGACGAGUCGAGUUGUUUGGGAAUGCAGCUCUAAAUGGGUGGUAAAUUUCAUCUAAAGCUAAAUACUGGCCGGAGACCGAUAGCGCACAAGUAGAGUGAUCGAAAGAUGAAAAGCACUUUGAAAAGAGAGUUAAACAGCACGUGAAAUUGUUGAAAGGGAAGCGCAUGCGACCAGACUCGCUCGCGGGGUUCAGCCGGCAUUCGUGCCGGUGUACUUCCCCGCGGGCGGGCCAGCGUCGGUUUGGGCGGCCGGUCAAAGGCCCCCGGAAUGUAUCACCUCUCGGGGUGUCUUAUAGCCGGGGGUGCAAUGCGGCCAGCCUGGACCGAGGAACGCGCUUCGGCACGGACGCUGGCAUAAUGGUCGUAAGCGACC
RNAcentral lists this ribosomal RNA (636 nucleotides) under Aspergillus sp. NRRL 2161. RNAcentral describes it as "eukaryotic LSU rRNA". It matches the Rfam family "Eukaryotic large subunit ribosomal RNA", at positions 1 to 649 of the family's 3401-position model. Lineage: Eukaryota; Fungi; Ascomycota; Eurotiomycetes; Eurotiales; Aspergillaceae. RNAcentral also lists the same sequence under 1 other name. The record is from RNAcentral.